AGGUGGGCUGGUGGAGAACACCAAGGCGCUCGAGAGAACCCAGGUUAAGGAACUCGGCAAAUUGACACCGUAACUUCGGGAUAAGGUGUGCCGUCGGUAGGUGAAGCGCCUGCGCGUGGAGCUGAAGACGGUUGCAACAAAGCGGCGGUAGCGACUGUUUACCAAAAACACAGGGCUCUGCGAACGCGUAAGCGGACGUAUAGGGCCUGACGCCUGCCCGGUGCCGGAAGGUUAAGGGGAAUUGUCAGCGCAAGCGAAGCAGUGAACUGAAGCCCCGGUAAACGGCGGCCGUAACGAACGGUCCUAAGGUAGCGAAAUUCCUUGUCGGGUAAGUUCCGACCUGCACGAGGGCGUAACGACUUCCGCGCUGUCUCGACCUGGGGCUCGGCGAAAAUGACAUUGGGGUGAAGAUGCCCCAUACCCGCAGCUAGACGAAAAGACCCUGUGAACCUUUACUGUAACUUGCCAGUGGCGUUCGACUCAAACUGUGUAGGAUAGGUGGGAGGCUUUGAACCAUGGCCGCCAGGUCGUGGGGAGCCAACGUUGAAAUACCACCCUGUUUGAUUUGGCCGCCUAACCCUUGACGGGGGACACUGGCUGGUGGGCAGUUUGACUGGGGCGGUCGCCUCCCAAAGAGUAACGGAGGCGCACAAAGGUCCGCUCAGCCCGAACGGAAACCGGGCGGAGAGUGUAAUCGCACAAGCGGGCUUGACUGCGAGACCGACAGGUCGAGCAGGUGGGAAACCAGGUGAUAGUGAUCCGGUGGUUCUGCAUGGAAGGGCCAUCGCUCAACGGAUAAAAGGUACUCCGGGGAUAACAGGCUGAUCGCGCCCAAGAGUUCAUAUCGACGGCGCGGUUUGGCACCUCGAUGUCGGCUCAUCGCAUCCUGGGGCUGGAGCAGGUCCCAAGGGUAUGGCUGUUCGCCAUUUAAAGCGGUACGCGAGCUGGGUUCGAACGUCGUGAGACAGUUCGGUCUCUAUCUGCUGUGGGCGUCGGAGAGUUGAGAAGAGCUGUCCUUAGUACGAGAGGACCGGGAUGGACGCGCCUCUGGUGUUCCGGUUGUCGCGCCAGCGGCAUCGCUGGGUAGCUAUGUGCGGACGGGAUAACCGCUGAAAGCAUCUAAGCGGGAAGCCCCCUUCGAGAUGAGCUCUCCCUUACAAGCCCGGGAAGACUACCCGGUUGAUAGGCGCCAGCUGCACAUCCAGCAAUGGAUUCAGGCGAGGCGUACUAAUCGCUU
Molecule: ribosomal RNA, 1237 nt
Filed under: metagenome
Description: bacterial LSU rRNA
Rfam family: Bacterial large subunit ribosomal RNA
Source: RNAcentral